CGAACGGGUGAGUAACGCGUGAGCAACCUGCCUCAUACAACGGGAGUACCCGAGGGAAACUUCGGUUAAUACGGUAUAAGACCACACUACCGCAUGGUAGAGGGGUAAAAGGAGAAAUCCGGUAUGAGAUGGGCUCGCGUCGCAUUAGCUAGUUGGUGAGGUAACGGCCCACCAAGGCGACGAUGCGUAGCCGACCUGAGAGGGUGAUCGGCCACAUUGGGACUGAGAUACGGCCCAGACUCCUACGGGAGGCAGCAG
This 258-nucleotide ribosomal RNA is filed under the name uncultured bacterium. RNAcentral's name for it is "partial 16S ribosomal RNA". It matches the Rfam family "Bacterial small subunit ribosomal RNA", at positions 99 to 354 of the family's 1533-position model. The record is from RNAcentral.